AGGCAGUGUAGUUAGCUGAUUGUUCUCCUGGCUGCAAUCACUAACCACACUACCAAC
RNAcentral lists this microRNA precursor (57 nucleotides) under Lepisosteus oculatus (spotted gar). RNAcentral's name for it is "Loc-Mir-34-P2a_pre stem-loop". Lineage: Eukaryota; Metazoa; Chordata; Actinopteri; Semionotiformes; Lepisosteidae. The record is from RNAcentral.